UCUACAGUCUGAAAUGUAAAGUGUGGCUGUAGUUUCUAGUCCUAACUUCUUGCUUUUUUAUUAUUUUAGGUCAUCAUAGUUACAUUCUAAAUGCUUACCCCUCCUUGUUUCAAAUCAAGAGUGUGCGCUUUAAAAAACAAUCAAACACUCCUUCAGAUUUUCUUCUGCGUCGCUUUUGAGUCUUUCUUCCUCCAACCCAGAGGUUGCAGCGUGGUGGCACACCUGGCAGGAGUGCUUUAGCCCGGCCAAGCUGCAAUUUUCCAGAGAAACCUCUUUGCUGGGGGAUUCCUGGUGAAGCUGGAGGAGAGGUUUGUGUAGCUGUCUGCGUUGGCGGGGAGUAUGGCCCUCAUCCUGCACCUGAGCGUUGACUUUAAGAGCGUGGGGCACUGAAUGACCCAGCAGAGAGACAUCAGCAGAGAGACAUCACCCGCGAGGAGCCAGUGCCUCGGAGAUGAUGAUGUAGUCCCUAUGUGGGCCGCAGAAAGCACUUCGAGCCGUGCUGGAGUCGUGCUGGGUGGCUCUGAUAGCAGAGCUAAUGGGAGCGAAUGGGAUGCAACGAACUGUUCUAAUGACACCAGCCAGGGAAGAGACAACAAUCAAAUAAUCCAUCUCCCUGCGGUGCCAAGAGCUAGCUUCUUGGAAAGGGUACGAGGGGAGAAAUCGGAGGAUCACCA
RNAcentral lists this long non-coding RNA (674 nucleotides) under Calidris pygmaea (Spoon-billed sandpiper). RNAcentral describes it as "lncRNA (ENSCPGG00000018297.1)". Lineage: Eukaryota; Metazoa; Chordata; Aves; Charadriiformes; Scolopacidae. The record is from RNAcentral.